AACGAACGCUGGCGGCAUGCCCAACACAUGAAAGUCGAACGAGAUCUUCGGGUCUAGUGGCGCACGGGUGCGUAACGCGUGGGAAUCUGCCCUUUGGUUCGGAAUAACAGUUGGAAACGACUGCUAAUACCGGAUGAUGACGAAAGUCCAAAGAUUUAUCGCCGGAGGAUGAGCCCGCGUAGGAUUAGCUAGUUGGUGUGGUAAAGGCGCACCAAGGCGACGAUCCUUAGCUGGUCUGAGAGGAUGAUCAGCCACACUGGGACUGAGACACGGCCCAGACUCCUACAGGAGGCAGCAGUGGGGAAGAUUGGACAAUGGGCGAAAGCCUUAUCCAGCAAUGCCGCGUGAGUGAUGAAGGCCUUAGGGUUGUAAAGCUCUUUUACCCGGGAUGAUAAUGACAGUACCGGGAGAAUAAGCUCCGGCUAACUCCGUGCCAGCCGCCGCCGUAA
Molecule: ribosomal RNA, 449 nt
Filed under: uncultured bacterium
Lineage: Bacteria
Description: partial 16S ribosomal RNA
Rfam family: Bacterial small subunit ribosomal RNA
Source: RNAcentral